CCUACGGGUGGCAGCAGUGAGGAAUAUUGGUCAAUGGGCUUACGCCUGAACCAGCCAAGUCGCGUGAGGGAAGACUGCCCUAUGGGUUGUAAACCUCUUUUGUCAGGGAGCAACGCCGGCUACGUGUAGCCGGACUGAGAGUACCUGAAGAAAAAGCAUCGGCUAACUCCGUGCCAGCAGCCGCGGUAAUACGGAGGAUGCGAGCGUUAUCCGGAUUUAUUGGGUUUAAAGGGUGCGUAGGUGGAAUGCCAAGUCAGCGGUAAAAUCGCGGGGCUCAACCUCGCGCCGCCGUUGAAACUGGCGGUCUUGAGUGGGCGAGAAGUAGGCGGAAGGCGUGGUGUAGCGGUGAAAUGCAUAGAUAUCACGAAGAACUCCGAUUGCGAAGGCAGCAUACCGGCGUCCAACUGACGCUGAAGCACGAAAGCGUGGGUAUCGAACAGGAUUAGAUACCCGUGUAGUC
RNAcentral lists this ribosomal RNA (460 nucleotides) under uncultured bacterium. Its description in RNAcentral is "partial 16S ribosomal RNA". It matches the Rfam family "Bacterial small subunit ribosomal RNA", at positions 338 to 795 of the family's 1533-position model. The record is from RNAcentral.